GUCCUGAUGCCAUUUCGCUGGUAGCUACAGCUUUGACUGGAGAUAUUACAUUGUGCCAAGAGAGUGAUCUUGACGUCUCAAAUUUGAUAGGAAUCUGUGGACAUGAUUUAGUAGGUACGCAGAGCCAUAUUUUGUGAUUACACUU
This is a non-coding RNA of Triticum aestivum (bread wheat), 145 nucleotides long. The record is from Rfam. NCBI's taxonomy places the organism in Eukaryota, Viridiplantae, Streptophyta, Magnoliopsida, Poales, Poaceae.